This is a long non-coding RNA of Grus americana (Whooping crane), 2134 nucleotides long. RefSeq lists it as uncharacterized. The transcript is spliced from 3 exons. The record is from RefSeq and is a predicted model, not a curated record. Lineage: Eukaryota; Metazoa; Chordata; Aves; Gruiformes; Gruidae.
AGGCGGCGCCUGCGGAACCACCCCGGCGGCGCGGCGGGGCCCGACCUCUCUCUGUUCCUGGCGCCGUGGGGGCCUGCAUCGGCGCUGGGUGGGGUCGGCCGCCAUGAGGUGAGGUGAAGUGAAUGCGCCGGGCCGCCUCCCCACCCUGCCGCCAUGAGGUGAAGGCGCCGGGCCGCUUCCUCUCCCCCCCCUGCAGCCGUGAGGUGAGGUGAAGACGCCGGGCCGCUUUCCUCCGCCAUCCCCCCCCGCCAUGAGGUGAAGGCGCCGGGCCACCUCCUUUCCCCCCUGCCGCCAUGAGGUGAGGUGAAGACGCCGGGCCGCUUUCCUCCCCUACCCACCCGCCAUGAGGUGAAGGCGCCGGGACUCCGCUGCCGUGAGGGCUUCCAGCUGAUAUGCAGCUUAAGUGUGAGUGAAGAGAUGGCUGUAACUCGGAAGGCUUAGGUGGCAAAGAGCUGUCUGGAAGACACAUCCUUCAGGCAAGUGGUUUGCAUGUUUCCCUGCGGGUGGGGGUUCACUGAGGCAGCAGUUGACAAAAGAAAAGAAAGAAGCUGUUGGUGCUGCAUUGAAGAGCCCCAUCUGAAGGAGACUGAGAAGAUGGAAGCUUCCACAAUUUAAAUGGGGCUACUGGAGGAGUACUUGUUUUCAGGAUCUGGAUGUAGUAACUUGAAACAUCAAAGGGGGUUGGGGCAAGGUAUUAACAAGAAUUACAUAUACACUUUGUUAAUUGUUAAUCCCCUCCUGCUGUUUAAACCAAUAUUUUUUCUGUGACCUCUAUUUAUUAAACUUAUUUAAACUUGCAAACUUAUUUAUAUUUAAACUUUUCGUUUUGGUUUUCAUUCUGUUGUAAGGCUGUGGGUGCAGCAGGGUUUGAAAGUCAGGUUGAAUUCUUGUCUGUGGGAGACUGGGGAGGCCAGAAUGCGGUGCUGAGCGCCUGGUGCCCCUCCUGAGGCCACGCACACACGCUGUGCUCCGUAGCUUCUGCUGCAAGGGCUGGUUUUUAACAAGGUUUCCUUUUCUCCUGCACUUUGAAGGAGAUCAGAUGUUUACAGACAGAUGUUUAUGUUUCCAUAAAGGAAAUAAAAGUCUGGAAUUCCUAUUUCUGCUAUGAGUUCAUAAGAUACCCUUCCCAUGCUUCAGUUCCUCACUUGAGAGAACUUUGGCAUUAUCUCCCUUCCCUGGGUGAGUUGGAAAGGUGCCGAUUACGUAAAAUACAUUGAAACUGGUGGGGAGGGGACAGGCGAUAAAAAUGCCAUUGAAACUCAAAAAUGAGCACAGUUGUCAGAGCAGAGGAGGGUGUUGCUCUCGCCAAGAUGCCUGACCCAUCUGGAUUCAGUGCAGUCUUCUGGAGAACCCCGUGCUUGUGAAAUAAUCCAGACUUAGGAGGUGUUUCAGGCUAAAACGUCUGUUUUCAGCUUUUAAAAAAUGGUUCAAAAGUCACAUUACGUUACAAUUAGCCAACUGUAGAUGCUGCUGUAGUUACAGUGCCAUCUAUGUACAAACUGACCUGAGAGGCAGGACAGGGGACUGCUGCUGCACCCCGUGCUGCAGUGCAGGGGUGUAACGGGUAUUCACAGUGUUAGAGCUGGGGCUUGUAACUGUGGGGCUUCUGGUAAGAAGGCAGCAGGCAACAGGUUAGUUCCUGAGUUACGGAUGGUUUAAGUCAAACAGGAGCUGCUGUCAUGCAGUUAGUAGAAAUUAAUUACAGUGUGGAAUUUUUUUCAGGGCUCUCCUAAUUUUGAAACAUCCCCUGUGCUGCUCACUUCCCUGUUAGCCCUUCUGCCAUCUGGUAGUGCUGACCUCUGACUACGCAUUUGUUACGCUCCGUGUGGAAAUAUCUGUCAAAGUAUUCAACAUUAUUAGAAAAAAGUAUUUUCUUAGUUGAAGUUUAUGACAUACAUGAAUAAUUUUACUGGUUCUAUAUGAACGAGUUCUACCUGCAAAACUAAUGACCAGGCUUCCUAUGGAUUUAUGUUGUAAUCUUCCUCUUUGCCAGUACUUGCCCAGGAGGAGAGCGAUGGGUGCUCUGCGGCUGGCUGCCCGCUGCCCUCAGGGUGGCUGUGGGUUGCUGACUGCCAAGAACCAAGCUCGCUGCGUUAGGGGUCUCUUGUUUCUGUGUUUCUGAAAUUGGCAGAAA